CUCUCUUCUAGAGUUUGCCAUCCCCUGGGCAUCUGUAAGGCAAACAGUUCGGACUUUAUAACAUUGAGGGUAGCUAUUUUUACAAAUCACUCUUUACAUUUUUUAUAUGGGGGGAUUUCUUUUAUCUGUUUCUAAUCAAGUAGUGAUGGCCUGUCAGCUGAAUGCUGGAAUAAUUGCAUUAAGUAUGUGAACUGCCAUACCUAUUCCCACAUUCUAUUGAAUAAAUAUUUCCAAAGUCUGCC
RNAcentral lists this long non-coding RNA (242 nucleotides) under Gallus gallus (chicken). Lineage: Eukaryota; Metazoa; Chordata; Aves; Galliformes; Phasianidae. The record is from RNAcentral.